GACGAACGCUGGCGGCGUGCUUAACACAUGCAAGUCGAACGAAGUGGCGAACGGGUGAGUAACGCGUAAUCAACCUGCCCUUCAGAGGGGGACAACAGUUGGAAACGACUGCUAAUACCGCAUACUGAAGGAGGGGAUUGCGUCGGAUUAGCUAGUUGGAGGGGUAACGGCCCACCAAGGCGAUGAUCAGUAGCCGGUCUUGGAGGAAGAACCGGCACAAUGGGACUGGGAAACGGCCCAGACUCCUACGGGAAGCAGCAGUGGGGAAACUUCCGCAAUGGACGAAAAUCCGACGGAGCAACGCCGCGGGAGUGAUAGCGGCCUUCGGGUUGUAAAGCUCUGUUAAUCGGGACGCGGUACCGGAAUAGGAAGCCACGGCUAACUACGUGCCAGCAGCCGCGGUAAUAC
Molecule: ribosomal RNA, 408 nt
Filed under: uncultured bacterium
Lineage: Bacteria
Description: partial 16S ribosomal RNA
Rfam family: Bacterial small subunit ribosomal RNA
Source: RNAcentral